Molecule: ribosomal RNA, 781 nt
Filed under: Bacillus sp. (in: firmicutes)
Lineage: Bacteria; Bacillati; Bacillota; Bacilli; Caryophanales; Bacillaceae
Description: bacterial SSU rRNA
Rfam family: Bacterial small subunit ribosomal RNA
Source: RNAcentral
UCCCUGAUGUUAGCGGCGGACGGGUGAGUAACACGUGGGUAACCUGCCUGUAAGACUGGGAUAACUCCGGGAAACCGGGGCUAAUACCGGAUGGUUGUUUGAACCGCAUGGUUCAGACAUAAAAGGUGGCUUCGGCUACCACUUACAGAUGGACCCGCGGCGCAUUAGCUAGUUGGUGAGGUAACGGCUCACCAAGGCGACGAUGCGUAGCCGACCUGAGAGGGUGAUCGGCCACACUGGGACUGAGACACGGCCCAGACUCCUACGGGAGGCAGCAGUAGGGAAUCUUCCGCAAUGGACGAAAGUCUGACGGAGCAACGCCGCGUGAGUGAUGAAGGUUUUCGGAUCGUAAAGCUCUGUUGUUAGGGAAGAACAAGUGCCGUUCAAAUAGGGCGGCACCUUGACGGUACCUAACCAGAAAGCCACGGCUAACUACGUGCCAGCAGCCGCGGUAAUACGUAGGUGGCAAGCGUUGUCCGGAAUUAUUGGGCGUAAAGGGCUCGCAGGCGGUUUCUUAAGUCUGAUGUGAAAGCCCCCGGCUCAACCGGGGAGGGUCAUUGGAAACUGGGGAACUUGAGUGCAGAAGAGGAGAGUGGAAUUCCACGUGUAGCGGUGAAAUGCGUAGAGAUGUGGAGGAACACCAGUGGCGAAGGCGACUCUCUGGUCUGUAACUGACGCUGAGGAGCGAAAGCGUGGGGAGCGAACAGGAUUAGAUACCCUGGUAGUCCACGCCGUAAACGAUGAGUGCUAAGUGUUAGGGGGUUUCCGCCCCUUAGUGCUG